RNAcentral lists this ribosomal RNA (119 nucleotides) under Pteropus alecto (black flying fox). Lineage: Eukaryota; Metazoa; Chordata; Mammalia; Chiroptera; Pteropodidae. The record is from RNAcentral.
GUCUAGGGCCAUACCACCCUGAACAAGCCCGAUCCUGUCUGAUCUCGGAAGCUAAGCAGGGUCUGGCCUGGUUAGUACUUGGAUGGGAGACCACCUAGGAAGACCAGGUGCUGUAGGUG